Molecule: ribosomal RNA, 253 nt
Filed under: uncultured bacterium
Lineage: Bacteria
Description: partial 16S ribosomal RNA
Rfam family: Bacterial small subunit ribosomal RNA
Source: RNAcentral
UACGUAGGCAGCAAGCGUUGUUCGGAGUUACUGGGCGUAAAGGGUGUGUAGGCGGUUGGAUAAGUGUGGUGUGAAAUCUCCCGGCUUAACUGGGAGGGUGCGCUACAAACUGUCUGACUAGAGUGUGGGAUGGGUAAGUGGAAUUCCUGGUGUAGCGGUGAAAUGCGUAGAUAUCAGGAGGAACACCGAUGGCGAAGGCAGGUCUCUGGGCUGACACUGACGCUCAUGCACGAAAGCGUGGGGAGCAAACAGG